CUUGGGAGAAGGGUGUGCCCAGGACUUUGCAUCACGGAUAUUUGACGGGUCCUGGCACUCAGUAAAUGAAUGGUCGCAGGGUGAACAAUAAAUGAAGGGGGAAAUCAACCCUGAGUCUAAAAGGCACCAGAGAGUACCAUAUGGCCCAGACUGCAAUGAAACAACAAUCAACCCCAGGACGUGGCAGCACCCCAACCCCCCAAAGAUGGUCAACGCCCCAGGCCAGCAGGAAGCAGCCUUGAGACAUCUUCGCCCUUACUUCCCUAACCUGCCAAGCCCAAUUCUCCAACUUUUAUAAUAAACAACAGCCGGGAUUAUAAGAACAAUACACCUGGAUGACCCUGACCCCCGCCCCCUAACCACGGGGCACACACCCGCCAUGCAUUGCACAGGUGCAAUGUGAGGACUCUUGCACAGGUGCAAAACCCCAGUGCGCAUAGGCAACCUCCCCUUUAAAAGGUCCUGCCGCCCAUCCCUCUCUCUCUUCCUUUUGGCUCCUCUUGGGUUGGC
Molecule: long non-coding RNA, 510 nt
Filed under: Cricetulus griseus (Chinese hamster)
Lineage: Eukaryota; Metazoa; Chordata; Mammalia; Rodentia; Cricetidae
Description: lncRNA (ENSCGRG00015042853.1)
Source: RNAcentral